RNAcentral lists this microRNA precursor (205 nucleotides) under Oryza nivara. RNAcentral describes it as "MIR812 microRNA precursor family". It matches the Rfam family "MIR812 microRNA precursor family". The record is from Rfam by way of RNAcentral. Lineage: Eukaryota; Viridiplantae; Streptophyta; Magnoliopsida; Poales; Poaceae.
AAUGUAUGAUGCCGUUGAUUUUUUAACCGACGUUUGACCAUUCGUCUUAUUUAAAAAAUUUAUGUUAUUAUCAUUUAUUUUACCGCGAUUUGAUUUAUCAUCAAAUGUUUUUUAAGCAUGACAUAAUUUUUUUUAUAUUUACACAAAAAUUUUGAAUAAGACGAAUGGUCAAAUGUUAAUUAAAAUAUCAACGGCGUCAUAUAUU